RNAcentral lists this long non-coding RNA (6787 nucleotides) under Arachis ipaensis. Its description in RNAcentral is "long non-coding RNA (AIPA_LNC002149)". The record is from RNAcentral. Lineage: Eukaryota; Viridiplantae; Streptophyta; Magnoliopsida; Fabales; Fabaceae.
GCUGUAAGGGAGGAAAUACUACAUGCAUUACGAGUUGCCCCUAAUGCUGCCCGUUUAGUCCUGGAUUCUCUGGAAGGGUUUUACUGUACAGAACUGUCAAAUCAGGAUGUAAAGAAGGAUGCUAACUUGUUGGGUCUUCGUCGAACCUGUAUCAUGCUGAUGGAAUGUCUAAGUGCUUUCUUGGCCAACUCAGAUUUCGCUUCUAAUGUAAUUUCAGAAGAUAUCAAAGAGAGGGCAAAGGCAGUUGCUGAAGACUGGAAGCCUAGAUUGGAGGCUCUUGACAUGGAUGCCAGCAAUGGGAAUUCCUUGGAGGCUCAUGCCUUUUUGCAGCUUAUUGCCAGCUUUGGUAUUGCCUCUGAUUUUGAUGUUGAUGAGUUAUCCAGGCUAAUUCCAAUGGUGUCUCGCCGUCGCCAAACCGCUGAUUUAUGCCGCAGCCUUGGGUUAUCAGACAAGAUGCCCGGUGUGUAUUUUUUUUUUACCCAUAUAUAAUGUCUCUUAUGCCAUCCUGCGUGUGACUGAACAUUUGAGUGGUGUGUACUAAUAUUCUGGGAUGGUCAAGGAAAGUUGAUCAAUGACAAUAUAUAUUAUAUAAGUUAUAUGCUGAGAGAACUAAUGGAACUGAGCAGAUUAUAGUGCUGCAGUGAUGGACUUAAAUUAGAUAACAAAAUUGCUAGGAAUUGUCCCAAAAUUGCUCAUGUGAAAGGCAUGCAUGGAUUUACCAUUUGUAUCAAUUAAAGAAGGAAACAUUAAAUCUCUUCAUUUUGAUACUUAUUUUUAUUCUGUUUUAUUUAUUUAUUAUUUGUGUGCAGGUGUAAUUGAAGUUUUGGCGAAUAGUGGGCGACAAAUUGAUGCAGUUAACCUGGCUUUUGCAUUUGAUCUUACAGGACAGUUUUUGCCAGUUCCUUUACUGAAAUCUUACUUAAAAGAUUCCAGAAAAGUUUCUUCACCAGUCAGAAGUGUUAACUCUUCUCCUGCUGCACAGGUGUGUUGUUAAGUCUCAGCUGUAUUAAGUUACUAUCCCUCUGAUGUAUUCCUUUAACAAUUUGAAUUAGUUAUCUGAAAUAUUGUUGAGUACAUCCAAUUUUAUGUCCAUCUUUAAUGGAGAUCCAUCAUCCAUAAUAGUUUUGUUGUUCUAAUGAAAUAUUGACUUUAUUAGUUGCAGAUGUAGAGGAAUCAUAUAAAUUGUUUUAGAUUAUCUUCACAGUAUAUGUUGAGUCAGUUAUUCCUCCACAAACAGCUCUUAUUCAUAUACAAAAUAGUGAUUAAUUCUCUGUAUAUUCAGUUAAUAUUGCUGAAGUUUCAGUGGAAAACGAGCAUGAGGCUAGUACAGUGUGGAAUAUAGCAAAUAGAAAGUAAAAUACCAUAGGGCUAUUAGAGGUGCCCCUGCUUCCCAAAUUUCCAGAAGAGUGUAACUUAUUCUUCCCACAAUCCCUUGACACAAUGAUAGCGCAUGUUAACAAAGUAUAGGUUCAGUGUCCCUUCAGUGGUCUUCUAAGUUCUUCUAGCACUCAUUUCAGCCACAACACUUCAAAUAUCCCAUGUUUCACGGCUCUGAAUACAGCUUAUGCAUAAUUCUGGCCUUAACAUCCCGUUUUUAGAUCUUGUAGUCUCAACAGAGACGGUUUUUCCACCAUAUCGAAACCUCUGAUUUGGUUCAUUGGUGUUUCAGCAAGCCUAUAUCCCUGUGUUGAGUGUACCUGCAACUUGCAGAGGUUUCUUGAUUUCUUUUAUGCCAUAGAUCUGUGGGAAACCUUGUCACCAAGUGCCCUUUAUAUCAUUCUGGAAUUCCACCUUGAUUGUGAUUGACCUUAAAUAGUAAAUACCAAUUGGCAACCUAUAACUGCUUGCUUUCUUGAGUUGCCUAAUGGUUGUCCCUGAAUGAACAAAAGCACAUAUAUGUUGUUUCUUUUAGAUCCUUAAGUUACCCACUUGAUGCACAAAAGCAUAUAUAUGUUUUUUUUUUAGAUCCUUAGGUUACCCACUUGAUGCUCGAGUUUUAUUUGGUUUGUGGAUCUAAUUUGUUUUUGUUUUUAAAUAUUGUUAACAACCUGCUGUUAAUUCAGAUUGAGGUUAACGAGCGAGAGCUAGUUGCUCUUAAGGCUGUAAUCAAGUGCAUUGAAGAGCAUAAACUUGAAGAUCAGUAUGCUCUUGACCCUCUCCAAAAACGAGUUCUUCAACUAGAGAGGGCCAAAGCGGACAAGAAGAGGGAAACUGAAGCUACAAAGCCUCAACCUAAGAGACCCCGCGCCAAUGGCGUGGGAUAUGGUCCCCGAGUUACUAACUUCCCUUCUGACAAAACCUCCUAUGCUAGAGUUGCUGACAGGUACCCACCACAGUAUGUUUAUGACCGACCUUACAUGUAUCCUGCACCAACUGACAAUCAUUGUCCUCCUCUCUUCGGUUCUGCCACGUAUAACAUCUCUGCUAGCCAUGGAAACUACUUUGGAAAUGGGUAUCAGUAUCAAGCUACAUAUCUCCACUAAGUUAGCAAGCAGAGAUGGUGAAUGCAUGACUUUGAUCCUUCCCUUUAAUGUUGUAGCCUUAAGUCUUAACCCUUAAGCAGCUGUUGUAUUGUAUGUUGUACUUUAUCAAUGUAAUAUUUAAGGAUCCUGAAAACGAGAUAAAAUGACAUGUUAAAAUUUAACUUCGCAGUAGAACAUAUUCUGAAAUCUGAUCCUCUAAUGUAUUAUGUAUGCACGAUCUGUUUAAUUUUUGUAAAAGACACCUUGUUGACUUGUAAAUCUUUCUGAUUUCUUAGUUUGUCGUUUCUAAGAAAGCGUUUCCUUUUUGUUCUUAGACUGAAAAAGAUGGAGAUAUAGUGUGAUCGUAAAAGCCUAAAAAUGUCUCGCGUGUUAAAUUAUAUUAUUAUUAUUUUGUAGGGUUACUAAAAUUGGCUUUAAAGCAUUUUUGUCUAUCUAUAUCAUGUUUUGUCUUUCCAGUUUAAAGUACAGAAAUUAUCUUCUUUUUCUAUGAAGAACAAUUUUGUGAUUUUUGUCACUAUUGUUGCUUUUUUACAGUUCGAAAUUAUAGAUCAGCCUUAAAUACUCUUGAGCCACUACGAGACAUAUUUUUUAUAGGAUGUAUGUUUAACGGUGUGAUAUUUACAUAAAUUGACAUUGAUAUUAUUUGAAAUUUAAUUAUAUAUGUGAAAUCAAUUUGGGUUCCUGAAUAAUCAGUUCAUUGGUUGCUUAACUAAAUAUGAUUAAGUUACACUAAAUUUUUUAUUUUGGUUUUUGUUCCGAUAGUUAUCUGAAACUGGGUUGUUUUAGAUUUAAACGUGAGGUCCAGACUUCUUUUGGGCAAUGUUCGACGUCUCCUUUUGGACUCUAAUGCUUAAGUUAACAAGAGUUUUAGCAAGUUUUUAGUAGAUUAAGUUUUGAAUAUACUUAAAGGCGUCAGUGUAUUUAUAGUAUAAUAGAUAACAACCUUUUAGAGAAGAUCUUCCUUUGAGGGUGGAUAACGGAAAGUUUGUGGAAAUCUCUCUUUUAGAUAAGUGGCAGAUAUUUUAGAAGUUAGUUAUUUAUUCAAAUAAGUAGAGUUGAACUGCCAUCGUAAUGCUCGACCUCCGCGACCUCUGCGAGGUCAGAUAAGUAUAACAGUAGUUGAAUCUCUUGAAUAGACUUUUAUUCAUUUGGGUCUAGCUAUAUUUUUUGAGUCCAAAUAUAUACAUUUUUGUAUAAUAUUAUGAUCGAAAUUUACUCACUUAAACAAUUGCAUAUUCUCCCUUUCAAUAUUAAUUAUUCAUUACUUCACCUCCCUUAAUAAAAUCUCUAGUUUAAAAUCUUUUCUUGUAAAAUUAUUUUUAAUUGAUAAUUUUAAUAGGUAAGAUGAACAUAAAUUGGUAUUUUUCUUAAUUUGACAUAAAAAUUGAUUCAUCUAAUAGAAAAGAAAUUAAUUUAAUAAUGAGUAAAGUAUCGUUUUUGUCUCUAACGUUUGGGGUAAGUCCUAAAGUUGUUCCUAAAGUUUCAAUCGUCCUAUUUAAGUCCCUAACAUUUCAAAACUGACUCAAUGUUGUCCUGCCGUUAGGGAUCCGUUAACAGAAUUGACGGCGGGACAAAAUUGAGACGAUUUUGAAACUUUAGGAACUUAAAUAGGACGAAAACGUUGGGGACAAAAAUGAUACAUAGAAAUAAAUUUUAAUUUUAUCCUUCAAUAAUAUCAAUUUUUUACUAUACAUAGUAUUCAAUUAUUUUUUAAUCACAUAUAAGUAAAUUACACUUAAUCAUAUUACUUUCAUUUUAAAUAAAUUAAUUUUUUUUAUAAUUUUACUCUUAAAGAUUUUUAGUUAUCAUGAAAUAUUUGUAGAAUGACUAGUAUAUAAAUUUGCAGAAAAGAAAAAAAAUAAUAUAUAUACAAUAAAAUGUAAAUUAUACCUUUUGUCUCUAAUGUAUCAAAAUUUUUUAAAAUUAUAAAAAAAUAAAUUUAUUUAAAAUAAAAGUAAUGUGAUUAAGUGUAAUUUAUUUAGAUGUAAUUAAAAAAUAAUUGAAUACUAUGUACAGUAAAAAAAUAAUAUUAUUGAAAGAUAAAAUUAAAUUAAAAUUUAUUCUUAUGUAUUGUUUUUGUCCCUAACGUUUUUGUCCUAUUUAAGUCCCUAACGUUUCAAAAUCGUCUCAAUUUUAUUCAGUCGUCAAUUCUGUUAACGAAUUCCUAACGGCAAGACAAUAUUGAGUCAAUUUGAAAGGUUAGGGACUUAAAUAGGAUGAUUGAAACGUUAAGGAUAAUUUUGGGACUUACUCCAAACGUUGGGGACAAAAACGAUAUUUUACCCUUUAAUAAUUAAAAUUUGUUAAAAAUUAAUCCUACUAGAAUUUAUUUAGAAAAUAAUUUGGAAUAUUUAUUUUUUAUAAAUUUAAUCCAUAAUAAAAGAAACUUAUGAUUGGAUUAGGUACGUGAUGAGAAUAAUCAGAGGAAUGUUUGUCGAAGACGUGCAGCUCAGACAACACUCCGUUGUGACUAGUCAGUCCUCAGUAGUCAGUAGUAACGAGCAGCAGCUAAACGCCAAAACUAAAACGGAACGGAAAACGAAGUAACUCAAAAAUGCUUUUGUCAUGCACUGCGUAGAAAAAAAAAAAAACAGAAAAGAAAAAAAAAAUAAAAAAAUAAGACAAAGACCGCACAGUGUGCCACACACAGUGAGAGUGCUGAAAACUCUUUUCAUUAAACCACACCACACUACCACCUCUUCCUUCUUCUUCUUCUUCUUCUUCCUCUUCUUUGAAGAGAGAAAGCAUGGAUAGAGAAUUCUCUCACUCACUUUCUUAAUUCAUCUUCCUUCACAGAUCAAUCAGGUGAGCUCAAUCUUACUUGCUUUUUCUCCUUCUUUUUUAUUUUAAUUAUUAUUAUUUUAUUUAAAAAGUAGCAUUUUAAUUUAUUGAUUGAUUUUCUUGCUAUCAGCUUAGAUCGGCUUUCUUUGUUUCUCUGCAACAACAAUCUACUCUUCUAUUCUAUCGUUUUCGAAUUUUGGAGUAUUGUCCUUUCUUUUUUUGUGUUGUGCUAAUUGUUGAACGUAACUGUCUGAGGACGAUUUUUCUCCUCUUUCUAAAUUUAGGGUUUGCUUCUUUUUGUGACUCAUUCGAUCCUAUACCUCCGAUAUGUUGUUUGUAUGUUCUAGAAUCUAGAAUAAACCUAUUAUAUGUUUACUCAGUUCUAUAUAAUAUGUAAUAGAAAUUGUUGAAAUCUGCUGGGGUUUUUUUAUUUAAUUUAAUUAAUUUAAUUUUUAAUUUCUUGAUAUCUUGUGUGUGCACUUUGCAAUGAAAUGAUUAUGCAGUUUUAUAUGAACAACUGAAUUAUGGAGAAGUGCCUUAAGUUCUAGUUCAUUGUCUGAUUUUCAGCCUUCACUUGGAUGUUAUUUAUAAAAUUCAAACUGAAAGCGCUAUAAUUACACACUUGCUGAGAUUGUUUUAUGCUUCAUUUUAGUGGCUCCCAAUUAAUCAACUAUACGUAGCUUAAUUUUGUUUUUGUGCUGCAUUCAGCUUCUUUGCCAUGGAAGACACGGAUUCAGUUGCUACACUGAUAGAUUCAACAAGUUCUAAGAUAAAACAGCUCCAAAAGGCAUUUGCUGAACUUGAAAGCUAUCGAGCUGUUACACUUAACUUGAAAUGGAAAGAGCUUGAGGAACAUUUCCAUGGACUUGAGAAAUCAUUGAAGAGACGCUUUCAUGAAUUGGAGGACCAAGAGAAAGAGUUUGAAAACAAAGUGGUGAAGUCUCGUGAAAUAUUGGAGAAGCGGGAAGUGGCUGUUUGUGCCAAGGAGCAAGCUUCUUUGCAGAAACUUCAAGAUAAAAGAGAUGCUGCUGUGUUUGCCAUUUUUAAUGCCCGAGAAAAGCACAGGAAGGUUUCAUCAAAAGAUCUGGNNNNNNNNNNNNNNNNNNGUAAAACUUUCUCCUGAAGGUGGAAAUGUGGAUCUAUUAUCUUAUCCAGAGUUGGUAAAGCUAUGUAAAGAAAUGGAUGCUAGAGGUCUUCACAAAUUCAUAUCUGAUAACCGUAAGAAUCUUGCUGCUAUAAGGGAUGAAAUACCACAUGCAUUAGGAUUUGCUCCUAAUGCUGCCUGUUUAGUUUUAGAUUCUUUGGAAGGAUUUUACUGUGCAGAAGCGUCAAAUCAGGAUGUAAAGAAGGAUGCUAACUUAUUGGGCCUACGCCGAACCUGUAUCAUGCUGAUGGAAUGUUUGUACGUUUUCUUGAACAACUCAGAUGGUGUCUCUAAUGAACUUUCAGAAGAUAUCAAGGACAGGGCAAAAGCAGUUGCUGAAGAGUGGAAACCCAGAUUGGAUGCUCUAGAUGUGGAUGCU